This 698-nucleotide long non-coding RNA is filed under the name Rattus norvegicus (Norway rat). Its description in RNAcentral is "long non-coding RNA NONRATT017893". The record is from RNAcentral. Lineage: Eukaryota; Metazoa; Chordata; Mammalia; Rodentia; Muridae.
UGGGCAAAGUGAUCCAGCGGGGCCGGCAGAGCAAAGGCCUGACGCAGAAGGACCUGGCCACGAAAAUCAAUGAAAAGCCGCAAGUCAUCGCAGACUAUGAAAGUGGACGGGCCAUUCCGAAUAACCAGGUUUUGGGCAAAAUUGAGAGAGCCAUCGGUGAGUGUCUUCCCCAGCAGCUUUGGGCAAGGCAGUGCCCUUCCUUCCAUAAGGGGUGGUAAGGGCUGAGCUGGCAGGCCCUCGUCCCCUCGAGGCGGCCCUCAUCCCCUCCAGGCCAUACCACCUGAGUCCCUCCUGAGGGGUUGAGGAUUGGCGGGACUCCAGAAGCCUAAGGACAUGGUGUCUUGGGUUCUGUAGCUAGUGUCCUGCCACAGCACACUGCUCAGGAUACCUGGGGGCACAUGCUUGCUUCUACAUGCACCUCCAUGGAGGUCUAAUGCAGUAUUCCAGUCCUUCUGGGGCAAGAUGUUUGUCUUCUCGUCUUUCUAGAUUUACUAUUGUUAUUAUAUUUAUUAACUUUUUUCUGGCUGUCUUGGAACUAUGUAGACAGGCUGAUCUUGAGCUCACGGAGAUCUGCCUGCCUCUGUGUCCUAUGUGCUGGGAUUAAAGGCGUGUGCCACCACGUCUGGCUUAGAUUUUAUUUUCUAUAUAGACUCACUGUAGCUCAGGCUGGCUUCAGACUCACAUCAGUCUUCCUACCU